RNAcentral lists this long non-coding RNA (3327 nucleotides) under Sus scrofa (pig). RNAcentral's name for it is "lncRNA (ENSSSCG00000052056.1, ENSSSCG00090032321.1, ENSSSCG00130027946.1)". The record is from RNAcentral. Lineage: Eukaryota; Metazoa; Chordata; Mammalia; Artiodactyla; Suidae.
GGGGCAGUUUCAGGGUUGUGACUUCUGCUGCUGUGAUUUUUACGAACACUAGAAGCUGCUAUGUGGACUGAUGUUUAGCUGUGACUGGCCACUAGGUGGAGCCCUUGAGCCAUCUCUCCCCCAGGCUCCAUUGCAAGCAGAUCCAGCCUGAGGGACACUGGCAUGAGGUGCAAGGGUCUGGGUGUAUGAAAAGGUUAGGGGGCUGCUCCAGGGACCCUCUAAGCUGCCUUCACUCAGCUAUUGAGCUGGGCCAUGGAGGGGGCUGGGGCAGUGGUGUAGCCUGGACUGGAAUGUGACUCAGGCUCUCUGACUCCCAGUCCAAGGUUCUUUCCAGGGCUUCAGAAUUCCUGGACAGAAGAGGGACUAUUCCCAAGGGGAAUCUCUAACUCACCUUGGUGCUUCCAAUUCUGUGAUUUGGAUGCCCCCAGGGGAGAGAAAAGCCUUCCCUGGUAGGCACUGAGGUGAGGGUCAGGACCCAGAGGGCAGCGGGUGCUGUGGGCCUCAGGCCCACUCCUGGGCUCCCUGACUCCUGUGCAGCCAGCUUCUCAGUGGAGAAAGCACAGUCAGUGGGAAUACAGAAGUGGAAUAUUCUAGAGACACCACCAGCUUCAGGCAGCAGACCUGGCUUAAGUGUCUCCCUCCUAUGAGCUCAGAGUCCCUACCAACAAAGGACUGAGAUGGGGAGGAGAGCUCAUUAGACAGGUGCCCAGCAAUGGGCUGAGGGGUGGGGAGGGACCCAUGAACAGCAUCAUCAAGACUGAUCCUAAUAAAAAUGAAGAGCUGAUCCUUUGCCCCUCUAGCCUCCUGACCUACCUGGGUCCCGACACACCUGGAGUUGAUGCCUGCAAAUGUUGGGUUUACUCACCAAGGCUGUGAAGUUUGGAGGCAGGAAGGUGAUGUUAGUUGAGUGGCUGCUUGUGAGUAGUUCUGUGCUCUGUGUUUUACACAUGUCAUCUUACACAGUCCUCCAGUAACCCUGCCUGGCUAGGUUUCUUUCUCAUUUUAUCUUUAGGAAGCCAAGCAUGGCUCCUGAGGGUUAUAGGUGAGGGGGUUAAGGUUAGGGUUAGGUUUAAGCAAAACCUGCCCUCAUACAUUUUUAAAAAUUAGAAAAUUUUUUUUUGCCUUUUAGGCCCACACCUGUGGCAUAUGGAAGUUCCCAGACUAGGGGUCGAUUUGGAGCUGCAGCUGCUGGCCUACACAGCAGCCACAGCAAUGCCAGAUCUGAGCCAGGUCUGCAACCUGUGCCGAAGUUCACAGCAAUGCUGGAUCCUUAACCCACUGAGCUAGGCUAGGGAUCAGAUCCACAUCCUUGUGGAUACUAGUCAGGUUCUUACCCCCUGAGCCACAACGGGAACUCCUCUCAUACAUUCUUCCUACAUUUCUACGUUAGUUAGAUUCUUUAUUACUUUCUCUAUUUCACCCUAUGACACUCCCAUAACCUAAAUAGCUAAAUUUGAAUAUAUUAUGAUUUAUUUAUUGGGUUGUAAAAAUCAAUGGGUUUAGACUAAUGCAUAGUGGCAGGUAUCAUCCAUCACUAAAAUAUCACAUGGACUACUUCCCAUAACCUGUUUAUCAUCUCUGAUUUACCUGUUCUGGAAUGUCAUAUAAAUGGAAUCAUACAGUGUGUAGCCUUCUCCAACUGAAUUCCUUCACUUAGCAAUAUACAUGUAAGAUUCAUCCAUGUUUUUCCAUGAGUCGAUGGUUUAUUCCUUUCUAUUUUUGAAUAGUAUUGUAUUGCACAUAUAUGGGAGAAAAAAUAAUUUUUUUGCUAUCCUAGGUUCUUGAUUGAUUACCACCCCCAUAAUAAAAGACAUACAUAAUCAUACAGAGAAAUAGAUACAGUAUCUUUCUAAUAUUUUAGUCAUGAGUCAGUAAAACUAAUAAAAAAUUAUCUGUUUCUAUAAGAUUGUAGACUCUGAAUUGUGUUUCUGGCAGAUAGAACAAAAAAGAUUACUUGCCUAGUGAGAGUUAAAGUUUUUUACUAAUAUUUGUGGAGAAGAUUUUUAAGAUUUGCCCUGAUAUGUCAUCUUAUGAAGGCUGUGGACUAAAUUCUGGACAGAGGAAUUUUUGAAAUACCACGUGUCCAUCUUGGUGUUUUGUUUUAUUUUUGGGCUGCUGGCAUGGCAUGUGGAAGUUCCCAGUCCAGGGAUCAAACCUUCACCGUAGGAGGUUGCUAUUGUGACUCAGCAGUAAUGAACCCAACUAGUGUCCAUGAAGAUUUGGGUUCAAUGGCUGGCGUCUUUCAGUGGGUCAAGGAUCCAGCAUUGCCAUGAGCUUUGGUGUAGCUUGCAGACAGGGCUUGAAUCUGGCAUAGCUCUGGCUGUGGCAUAGGCCUGCAGCUGUAGCUCUGAUUUGACCCCUAGCCUGGGAACUUCCAAAUGCUGCAGGUGUGGCCCUAAAAAGCAAAAACAAACAAACACCUUGUGCCACAGCAGCAACCUGAGCCAAGCAAGGUUAAUGCCAGACCCUUAACAUGCUAGGCCACCAGGGGACUCCCAUCUUAUGUUCUUUUUUUUUUUUAGGGCCUCACCCUCGGCAUAUGGAGGUUCCCAGGCCAGGGGUCGAACUGAAGCUGUAGCCGCUGGCCUACAUCACAGCCACAGCAACCUGGGAUCCAAGCCGUGUCUGCCACCUACACCACAGCUCACAGCAACUCUGGAUCCUUAACCCGCUGAGCGAGGCCAGGGAUCGAACCUGCGCCCUCAUGGAUACUAGUCAGACUCAUUUCCACUGAGCCAUUACGGGAACUCCUUGCUUUUGUUUUUAACAGAUUUUACUGGCGUAUGGUUGACUUAAAAGUUGUGUUAGUUUCAGGUGUACAGAAACUAAAUCAGUUAUACAUAUACAUAUAUCCAUUCUUUUUCAGAUUCUUUUCCCAUAUAUGUUAUUACACAGUAUUGAGUAAGUUACCCUGUGAUAUACAGUAGGUAACAAGACCUAUCUUAACUAUUUGAUUUGAUUUUUUCUUUUCUGGCCACUCCAUAGCACAUGGAGUUCCUGGGCCAGGGAUCAUACCCAAGCCGGAACUCUUGACCAAUGCUCCAGCUUCGGCAAUGCUGGAUCCUUAACCCACUGUGCCAGGCUGGGGAUAGAGCCUGCAUCCUAGAACUGCAGAGAUAACCUGAUCCUGUUGUGUCACAGUGGGAACUCCUACCUAUUUUAUAGUUAGUGGUGUGUAUUUGUCAAUCCCAACCCCCUAAUUUAUCCCUCUUACCCACAUUUCCCCUUUGAUAACCAUAAAUUUGGUUUCAAAAUAAAGCUAAACUGAACUUCCCAUUGUGGCUUAGCGGUAAUCAAUCUGACUAGUAUCCAUGAGGUAUGUGGGUU